Molecule: ribosomal RNA, 482 nt
Filed under: uncultured Glomus
Lineage: Eukaryota; Fungi; Glomeromycota; Glomeromycetes; Glomerales; Glomeraceae
Description: SSU rRNA
Rfam family: Eukaryotic small subunit ribosomal RNA
Source: RNAcentral
AGCAGCCGCGGUAAUUCCAGCUCCAAUAGCGUAUAUUAAAGUUGUUGCAGUUAAAAAGCUCGUAGUUGAAUUUCGGGGUUAGCAGGUCGGUCGUGCCAUCGGUAUGAACUGGUCUCGCUGAUCCCUCCCUCUUGACGAACUGUGAUGCCAUUAAUUUGGUGUCGCAGGGAAUCAGGACUGUUACUUUGAAAAAAUUAGAGUGUUUAAAGCAGGCUCACGCUUGAAUACAUUAGCAUGGAAUAAUGAAAUAGGACGUUUGAUCCUAUUUUGUUGGCUUCUAGGAUUGACGUAAUGAUUAAUAGGGAUAGUUGGGGGCAUUAGUAUUCAAUUGUCAGAGGUGAAAUUCUUGGAUUUAUUGAAGACUAACUACUGCGAAAGCAUUUGCCAAGGAUGUUUUCAUUAAUCAAGAACGAAAGUUAGGGGAUCGAAGACGAUCAGAUACCGUCGUAGUCUUAACCAUAAACUAUGCCGACUAGGGAUCG